Long non-coding RNA from Cydia splendana, 475 nucleotides. RefSeq lists it as uncharacterized. The record is from RefSeq and is a predicted model, not a curated record. The transcript is spliced from 2 exons. NCBI's taxonomy places the organism in Eukaryota, Metazoa, Arthropoda, Insecta, Lepidoptera, Tortricidae.
ACAUUUUUCAAAUUUGCCGCGGAUUUCUACUGACAAGAUCUGCUUGACCAGCUAUAUGUUAUAAUUUUCUACAGCCAGAAAAUUAUAUUAGGAAAAAACUACCUUAAAUAAAAAUGUCAAAUUCGAAACUCAACUGGUAUUUUGAUUCAGAUUAAGGAAGUACUUGUUCCAAUUUAAGAAGAUGGCCUCUGUGUGCAUUUUUUUUAAUUUAGGUACAUCAUGCUUCCCAUUAUUCGUUUUUAUAAACCAUGAGACCAUGCCCUUAUCAUUUGAAAAAGAAUAUUGGACUUCCUAGGUUGAUCUUUUAUUUAUUUUACACACACCGAAAUAAUCUCUUUGGCAUGCCAUUGCAGAGUGCGUAAAAUGUACAAAGUAAUACUAUUUAGUUUAUUUAGUCUACGAUGUUUUAUAUCUAUGUUUAUAAAAUAAAAUUUACAUUGAUGUUUUACAAUAAUAUAAAGUGAAGCGGAGUAUU